GAUGAACGCUAGCUACAGGCUUAACACAUGCAAGUCGAGGGGAAACGACAUCGAAAGCUUGCUUUUGAUGGGCGUCGACCGGCGCACGGGUGAGUAACGCGUAUCCAACCUGCCCACCACUUGGGGAUAACCUUGCGAAAGUAAGACUAAUACCCAAUGACGUCUCUAGAAGACAUCUGAAAGAGAUUAAAGAUUUAUCGGUGAUGGAUGGGGAUGCGUCUGAUUGGCUUGUUGGCGGGGUAACGGCCCACCAAGGCGACGAUCAGUAGGGGUUCUGAGAGGAAGGUCCCCCACAUUGGAACUGAGACACGGUCCAAACUCCUACGGGAGGCAGCAGUGAGGAAUAUUGGUCAAUGGACGAGAGUCUGAACCAGCCAAGUAGCGUGCAGGAUGACGGCCCUAUGGGUUGUAAACUGCUUUUAUAAGGGAAUAAAGUGAGUCUCGUGAGACUUUUUGCAUGUACCUUAUGAAUAAGGACCGGCUAAUUCCGUG
This 492-nucleotide ribosomal RNA is filed under the name uncultured bacterium. RNAcentral's name for it is "partial 16S ribosomal RNA". It matches the Rfam family "Bacterial small subunit ribosomal RNA", at positions 28 to 507 of the family's 1533-position model. The record is from RNAcentral.